RNAcentral lists this ribosomal RNA (90 nucleotides) under Filimonas lacunae. Lineage: Bacteria; Pseudomonadati; Bacteroidota; Chitinophagia; Chitinophagales; Chitinophagaceae. The record is from RNAcentral.
UUCACCUCUUCCCUUACCGAACAGAGAAGUUAAGCCCCUCAUGGCCGAUGGUACUGCAAAGAAAUGCGGGAGAGUAGGUAGUUGCCAUAU